GACGAACGCUGGCGGCGUGCUUAACACAUGCAAGUCGAACGAAGAGCGAUGGAAGCUUGCUUCUAUCAAUCUUAGUGGCGAACGGGUGAGUAACGCGUAAUCAACCUGCCCUUCAGAGGGGGACAACAGUUGGAAACGACUGCUAAUACCGCAUACGAUCUAAUCUCGGCAUCGAGGAUAGAUGAAAGGUGGCCUCUACAUGUAAGCUAUCACUGAAGGAGGGGAUUGCGUCUGAUUAGCUAGUUGGAGGGGUAACGGCCCACCAAGGCGAUGAUCAGUAGCCGGUCUGAGAGGAUGAACGGCCACAUUGGGACUGAGACACGGCCCAGACUCCUACGGGAGGCAGCAGUGGGGAAUCUUCCGCAAUGGACGAAAGUCUGACGGAGCAACGCCGCGUGAGUGGUGACGGCCUUCGGGUUGUAAAGCUCUGUUAAUCGGGACGAAAGGCCUUCUUGCGAAUAGCGAGAAGGAUUGACGGUACCGGAAUAGAAAGCCACGGCUAACUACGUG
This 510-nucleotide ribosomal RNA is filed under the name uncultured bacterium. RNAcentral describes it as "partial 16S ribosomal RNA". It matches the Rfam family "Bacterial small subunit ribosomal RNA", at positions 28 to 507 of the family's 1533-position model. The record is from RNAcentral.